RNAcentral lists this ribosomal RNA (485 nucleotides) under uncultured Levilinea sp. Its description in RNAcentral is "bacterial SSU rRNA". It matches the Rfam family "Bacterial small subunit ribosomal RNA", at positions 904 to 1382 of the family's 1533-position model. The record is from RNAcentral. Lineage: Bacteria; Bacillati; Chloroflexota; Anaerolineae; Anaerolineales; Anaerolineaceae.
ACGCCCGCUCAAGAAACUUAAAGGAUUGACGGGCCCCGCACAAGCAGCGGAGCGUGUGGUUUAAUUCGAUGCUACACGAAGAACCUUACCAGGGUUUGACAUACAAGUAGUAGGGAAAGGAAACUGGACCGACCCUUCGGGGAGCUUGAACAGGUGCUGCAUGGCUGUCGUCAGCUCGUGUCGUGAGAUGUUCGGUUAAGUCCGCUAACGAGCGCAACCCUCGCUGUGUGUUACAAGUGUCACACGGAACUGCCGGUCAUAAACCGGAGGAAGGUGGGGAUGACGUCAAGUCAGCAUGGCCUUUAUAUCCUGGGCUACACACACGCUACAAUGGGAAGGGACAAUAGGUUGCGAAACCGCGAGGUGGAGCCAAUCCAGCAAAACUUCCCUCAGUUCAGAUUGCAGGCUGCAACUCGCCUGCAUGAAGUUGGAGUUGCUAGUAAACGCAGGUCAGCCAUACUGCGUUGAAUACGUUCCCGGGGCUU